This 484-nucleotide ribosomal RNA is filed under the name uncultured Sphingobacteriales bacterium. Its description in RNAcentral is "bacterial SSU rRNA". It matches the Rfam family "Bacterial small subunit ribosomal RNA", at positions 903 to 1382 of the family's 1533-position model. Lineage: Bacteria; Pseudomonadati; Bacteroidota; Sphingobacteriia; Sphingobacteriales. The record is from RNAcentral.
CUACAAAGGACUUGACGGGGGCCCGCACAAGCGGUGGAGCAUGUGGUUUAAUUCGAUGAUACGCGAGGAACCUUACCUGGGCUCAAAUGUAUGUUGACGUAUUCUGAAAGGGAUACUUCUUCGGACAAUAUACAAGGUGCUGCAUGGUUGUCGUCAGCUCGUGCCGUGAGGUGUCGGGUUAAGUCCCAUAACGAGCGCAACCCCUAUCAUUAGUUGCCAUCAGGUCAAGCUGGGGACUCUAAUGAAACUGCCUACGCAAGUAGUGAGGAAGGUGGGGAUGACGUCAAAUCAGCACGGCCCUUACAUCCAGGGCUACACACGUGCUACAAUGGCCGGCACAGCGGGAAGCGAAUGGGCGACCAUGAGCGGAUCCCCAUAAAAGCCGGUCCCAGUUCGGAUUGCAGUCUGCAACUCGACUGCAUGAAGUUGGAAUCGCUAGUAAUCGCGGAUCAGCCAAGCCGCGGUGAAUACGUUCCCGGGCCUU